This 405-nucleotide ribosomal RNA is filed under the name uncultured bacterium. RNAcentral's name for it is "partial 16S ribosomal RNA". It matches the Rfam family "Bacterial small subunit ribosomal RNA", at positions 30 to 526 of the family's 1533-position model. The record is from RNAcentral.
AUUGAACGCUGGCGGCAGGCCUAACACAUGCAAGUCGAGCGAGCGGCGGACGGGUGAGUAAUGUAUGGGGAUCUGCCCGCUCGAGGGGGAUACCUACUGGAAACGGAGCUAAUACCGCAUACUAUCGGAUGAACCCAUCUGAGAUUGGCUAGUAGGUGAGGUAAUGGCUCACCAAGGCCACGAUGCGUAGCUGGUUUGAGAGGACGACCAGCCACACUGGGACUGAGACACGGCCCAGACUCCUACGGGAGGCAGCAGUGGGGAAUUUUGGACAAUGGGGGCAACCCUGAUCCAGCCAUCCCGCGUGUAUGAUGAAGGCCUUCGGGUUGUAAAGUACUUUAGGCAGCGAAGCGGUAUCUGCAGAAUAAGCACCGGCUAACUACGUGCCAGCAGCCGCGGUAAUAC